RNAcentral lists this ribosomal RNA (468 nucleotides) under uncultured bacterium. RNAcentral's name for it is "partial 16S ribosomal RNA". It matches the Rfam family "Bacterial small subunit ribosomal RNA", at positions 28 to 507 of the family's 1533-position model. The record is from RNAcentral.
GACGAACGCUGGCGGCGUGCUUAACACAUGCAAGUCGAACGGAAAGGCCCUGCUUUUGUGGGGUGCUCGAGUGGCGAACGGGUGAGUAACACGUGAGUAACCUGCCCUUGACUUUGGGAUAACUUCAGGAAACUGGGGCUAAUACCGGAUAGGAGCUCCUGCUGCAUGGUGGGGGUUGGAAAGUUUCGGCGGUUGGGGAUGGACUCGCGGCUUAUCAGCUUGUUGGUGGGGUAGUGGCUUACCAAGGCUUUGACGGGUAGCCGGCCUGAGAGGGUGACCGGCCACAUUGGGACUGAGAGACGGCCCAGACUCCUACGGGAGGCAGCAGUGGGGAAUAUUGCACAAUGGGCGGAAGCCUGAUGCAGCAACGCCGCGUGCGGGAUGACGGCCUACGGGUUGUAAACCGCUUUCGCCUGUGACGAAGCGUGAGUGACGGUAAUGGGUAAAGAAGCACCGGCUAACUACGUG